GUGCAUGGUGGCACACAUCUGUAACUCCAGCUGUCAGAGAUACUGAGGCUGGCAGAUAUCUUGAACUCAGAAGUUCUGAGUUGCAGUUGGCAGUGCAGAUUGAGCAUCUAUACUGAGUUAGGCAUCAUGAUGGUGAGCCCUCUGGAAUGAAGGGGAGGUCACUAGAUUGCCUAAGGAAGGGUGAAUUAGCCUAGAUCAGAAAUGGUACAGGUCAAACUCCCAUACUGAUCAAUAGUGAGACUGGGCCAUGAGUAUUCCCUGUAGUUCCAGUCUGGGCAAGAUAGGGAGACCUGUCUUUA
This 299-nucleotide signal recognition particle RNA is filed under the name Vombatus ursinus (common wombat). RNAcentral's name for it is "Metazoan signal recognition particle RNA (ENSVURG00010001016.1)". It matches the Rfam family "Metazoan signal recognition particle RNA". Rfam says of the family: The signal recognition particle (SRP) is a universally conserved ribonucleoprotein. It is involved in the co-translational targeting of proteins to membranes. Lineage: Eukaryota; Metazoa; Chordata; Mammalia; Diprotodontia; Vombatidae. The record is from Rfam by way of RNAcentral.